GACAGAGGAUGCAAGCGUUAUCCGGAAUUAUUGGGCGUAAAGCGUCCGCAGGUGGCACCUCAAGUCUGCUGUCAAAGACCGGGGCUUAACCCCAGAAAGGCAGUGGAAACUGAAGUGCUAGAGUGCAGUAGGGGUAGAGGGAAUUCCCGGUGUAGCGGUGAAAUGCGUAGAGAUCGGGAAGAACAUCGGUGGCGAAAGCGCUCUGCUGGACUGCAACUGACACUCAGGGACGAAAGCUAGGGGAGCGAAUGGG
This 253-nucleotide ribosomal RNA is filed under the name uncultured bacterium. RNAcentral's name for it is "partial 16S ribosomal RNA". It matches the Rfam family "Bacterial small subunit ribosomal RNA", at positions 524 to 776 of the family's 1533-position model. The record is from RNAcentral.